GACGAACGCUGGCGGCGUGCUUAACACAUGCAAGUCGAACGGAGCACCCUUGAUUGAGGUUUCGGCCAAAUGAUAGGAAUGCUUAGUGGCGGACUGGUGAGUAACGCGUGAGGAACCUGCCUUUCAGAGGGGGACAACAGUUGGAAACGACUGCUAAUACCGCAUGACGCAUUUUGAUCGCAUGGUCGAAAUGCCAAAGAUUUAUCGCUGAAAGAUGGCCUCGCGUCUGAUUAGCUAGUUGGUGAGGUAACGGCCCACCAAGGCGACGAUCGGUAGCCGGACUGAGAGGUUGACCGGCCACAUUGGGACUGAGAUACGGCCCAGACUCCUACGGGAGGCAGCAGUGGGGAAUAUUGGGCAAUGGGCGCAAGCCUGACCCAGCAACGCCGCGUGAAGGAAGAAAGGCUUUCGGGUUGUAAACUUCUUUAAGUGGGAAGAGCAGAAGACGGUACCACUUGAAUAAGCCACGGCUAACGUACGUGCCAGCAG
RNAcentral lists this ribosomal RNA (489 nucleotides) under uncultured bacterium. RNAcentral's name for it is "bacterial SSU rRNA". It matches the Rfam family "Bacterial small subunit ribosomal RNA", at positions 28 to 514 of the family's 1533-position model. The record is from RNAcentral.